This 253-nucleotide ribosomal RNA is filed under the name uncultured bacterium. RNAcentral's name for it is "partial 16S ribosomal RNA". It matches the Rfam family "Bacterial small subunit ribosomal RNA", at positions 524 to 776 of the family's 1533-position model. The record is from RNAcentral.
UACGUAGGGUGCAAGCGUUGUCCGGAAUUAUUGGGCGUAAAGAGCUCGUAGGCGGUUUGUCGCGUCUGCUGUGAAAACUCGGGGCUUAACCCCGGGCCUGCAGUGGGUACGGGCAGACUAGAGUGCGGUAGGGGAGACUGGAAUUCCUGGUGUAGCGGUGAAAUGCGCAGAUAUCAGGAGGAACACCGACGGCGAAGGCAGCUUACUGGGCCGAUACUGACGCUGAGGAGCGAAAGCGUGGGGAGCGAACAGG